GAUGAACGCUGGCGGCGUGCCUAAUACAUGCAAGUCGAGCGAACAGACGAAGAGCUUGCUCCUCUGACGUUAGCGGCGGAAGGGUGAGUAACAGGUGGAUAACCUCCCUAUAAACCUGGGUUAACUUCGGGAAAACGGAGCUAAUACCGGGUAUUAUAUUCAACCGAACUGUUCAAUAGUGUAAGACGGUUUUGAUGGCACUUAUAGAUGGAUCCGCGCCGCAUUAGCUAGUUGGUAAGGUAACGGCGUAACAAGGCAAAGAUGCGUAGCAGACCUGAGAGGGUGAGCUGCCACACUGGAACUGGGACGCGGUCCAGACUCCUACGGGAGGCAGCAGUAGGGAAUCUUCCGCAGAGGGCGAAAGCCUGACGGAGCAACGCCGCGUGAGUGAUUAAGGUCUUCGGAUCGUAAAACUCUGUUAUUAGUGAAGAACAAAUGUGUAAGUAACUAUGCACGUCUUGACGGCACCUAAUCAGAAAGCCACGGCUAACUACGUG
This 497-nucleotide ribosomal RNA is filed under the name uncultured bacterium. Its description in RNAcentral is "partial 16S ribosomal RNA". It matches the Rfam family "Bacterial small subunit ribosomal RNA", at positions 28 to 507 of the family's 1533-position model. The record is from RNAcentral.